Lingula anatina is the source of this 289-nucleotide long non-coding RNA. NCBI's taxonomy places the organism in Eukaryota, Metazoa, Brachiopoda, Lingulata, Lingulida, Lingulidae. The record is from RefSeq and is a predicted model, not a curated record.
AUGUGUGAAUGGUGCCAGGUGCAAAAACCAUCCGGGUUCUUUUCAAUGCGUGUGCUUGGCUGGAUUUACAGGAAAUUUGUGCGAGAAUGACCUUGAUGAGUGUGCUAGUAACCCAUGCACCGCUGGAUCCACGUGUCAAAACCGCCAUGGUCACUUUGUGUGCGUUUGCCCAGCAGGCUUUGCGGGGAAUCUUUGCCAGUUUGAUAUCAGCGAAUGUUUUAGUCGGCCGUGCCAGCGGGGAGGAACGUGUAUGGAUUUAGUUAACGGCUAUAGAUGCAUCUGCCCUGCU